This is a long non-coding RNA of Grus americana (Whooping crane), 150 nucleotides long. RefSeq lists it as uncharacterized. NCBI's taxonomy places the organism in Eukaryota, Metazoa, Chordata, Aves, Gruiformes, Gruidae. The record is from RefSeq and is a predicted model, not a curated record. The transcript is spliced from 3 exons.
GGAAACAAGACAGCUAGCUCUUCCACACAACACUUCACAUCUAUUUCUCAGUACAAAAGUCCAGUUCUCCCAAACCCAAGGAAAGCUUGUGACGGCUGUUUUCCUUCCUGCUGUCCGGGAAAGUCCUUUGAGGGCUUUGCCUGGAUGUUG